GUUAUACAAGGUUCAUGUAGUUCACAGGAGGGAGGAGGAUGACAUAAUUACUGAGUCUCAGGUUCUUAGCCUCAUUAAUAGUGUCAGAUAUGAGGUGUGUCACAUGGACUGAGCCUUGUAUCCCAUCAAAAAGUGGCUGGCUACUCCUAUAGCAUUUGUGCCAUGUUGGCCCAGCAGGUGGAGCUUGCAGGCAGGUCACUGUUGUACUUACAGGGUCAUAGCUGGGUGAGAUUAACAGCUCCUUUCUCCUGUGGUAGCCUACAUAGUGUCUUCCACUCAGGAGCUUCUAUCAGUGCACCAGCUUGAUUUCCCCAUGUUCUCUGACAAGAGGAUAUGAUGCCUUCAACAAUAGGGGUCUCACUUGUUAGACCGUGGAGGGUAACUGACAGAACUGAUGUAGCCCGUGUCUGCGGGGCGCCUUUAUAUAAGGAUUCAAAACGACCCAACCCAUUCCUGGUUCUGAGGCUUUGUCUGGAAGCAUAUAAUGUCCAGCUGGAGUAUUAACUCCUGCAUUUUGUGAAAACUUCAUUUAAACACAUUUUAUAUAUAUAGGUCUUAAGAAGGUUCAUCAGUGUUUUAAUUAGAGGAGCUGUCUUACAAUGUCAUCAGGUGUCAGUACUUUAUUCUUUAACUAACAUUCUCAAUGUUGCUGCUUAAGUUUUUUGAACAUGCCAACUCUUAUUUUUAAAAAAGUGUGUGUCUGUGUCUGUCUGUCAGUCUGUCUCACCCCCCACCCCCCGCCACACACACACCAGGAGGGGGGAGGAUAUGAAUGAAUGUAUGUGUGUGUUGUAUGUAUGCCGGUAAAGGUCCGUGGAGCUGGAAAAGAUGUGAUAUAGGCCUGGGGACUGAACUCAAGUUCCCUGGGAGAGCAACAUGUGCUCUUAGCUACACUGCCAGCUCUCUAGCGCCAACACUAGUGGUUUAUUUUAGUUCAACUUCCGAAAUUUUUAUUAUGGGAUUCCACGGAGGGUAUGGUUUAUUUGUAUUUUUAUUACUGUUUUUUCAUGUCCAGCAGUGUUUUUAUUUUAUUGUACUAUCUUACAUGUUAGUCACAACAUAACUAAAGCAGCUGGAGAACCCCAAUGACAGGUGAAAGGGAUUUGCAUUUACCUGGGCCAGGCGCAGACCUGCGGCGUUAACAUUUGACUUCCUGUGAAUGAUGGUUUAGUUCUGCUUUUAUACUUACUAUAAGAUUAUAACCCUGUGAAAUUCUGGGUCAUACAAGGCUUCAUUUGUCUGUGUAGAGUUUUGAAUCCUACUGUUGGUGACUCUGCACAUAAGCUUGGGAAAACUUCUACUCCUCUUCUCAGCCUAUCAGCCAUGUUUGACAUUGAGAAAAGGUUGGGGCACAAAGCUGUGCCAUACAACCUGUCUGAAUUACCUUUUAAGAAUGUCUGUGUCCAUGGUAUGCACUCGCUGAUAAGCAGAUAUUAGCCCAGAAACUCGGAAUACCCAAGAUACAAUUCGCAAAAUACGUGAAACUCAAGAAUAAGGAAGACCAAAGUGUGGAUACUUCGAUCCUUAGAAGGGGGAACAAAAUACUCAUGGAAUGAGUUACAGAGAGAAAGUGUGAAGCAGAGACUGAAGGAAUGACCAUCCAGAGACUGCCCCACCUGGGGAUCCAUCCUAUAUAAGAUCUCCAAACCCAGACACUAUUUCGGAUGCCAACAAGAGCUUCCUGACAGGAGCCUGAUAUAGCUGUCUCCUGAGAGGCUCUACCAGUGCCUGACAAAUACAGAAGUGGAUGCUCAUAGCCAUCCAUUGGACGGAGCACAGGGUCCCCAAUGAAGGAGCUAGAGAAAGUACCCAAGGAGUUGAAGGGGUUUGUAGCCCCAUAGGAGGAACAACAAUAUGAACUAACCAGUACCCCAAGAGCGCCCUGGGACUAAACCACCAACCAAAGAAAACACAUGGUGGGACUUAAGGUUCUAGCUGCAUAUGUAGCAGAGGAUGGCCUAGUUGGUCAUCAAUGGGAGGAGAGGCCCUUGGUCCUGUGAAGGUUCUAUGCCACAGUAUAUUGGAAUGCCAGGGCCAGGAAGCCAGAGUGGGUGGGUUCGUGAGCAGGAGAAGGGGGACGGUUAGGGGGUUUUCGAAGGGGAAACCAGGAAAAGGGAUAAUAUUUGAAAUGUAAAUAAAGAAAAUAUCUAAUU
RNAcentral lists this long non-coding RNA (2153 nucleotides) under Mus musculus (house mouse). RNAcentral describes it as "long non-coding RNA chr13:91595301-91597454". The record is from RNAcentral. Lineage: Eukaryota; Metazoa; Chordata; Mammalia; Rodentia; Muridae.